UACGUAGGGUGCGAGCGUUAAUCGGAAUUACUGGGCGUAAAGCGUGCGCAGGCGGUUCGUUAAGUUCGUUGUGAAAGCCCCGGGCUUAACCUGGGAACUGCGUUUGAAACUGGGAGACUUGAGUGUGGCAGAGGGGGGUGGAAUUCCACGUGUAGCAGUGAAAUGCGUAGAUAUGUGGAGGAACACCGAUGGCGAAGGCAGCCCCCUGGGUUAACACUGACGCUCAUGCACGAAAGCGUGGGGAGCAAACAGG
Molecule: ribosomal RNA, 253 nt
Filed under: uncultured bacterium
Lineage: Bacteria
Description: partial 16S ribosomal RNA
Rfam family: Bacterial small subunit ribosomal RNA
Source: RNAcentral